AGAGUUUGAUCCUGGCUCAGGACGAACGCUGGCGGCGUGCCUAAUACAUGCAAGUCGAACGCUUUUUCUUUCACCGGAGCUUGCUCCACCGAAAGAAAAGGAGUGGCGAACGGGUGAGUAACACGUGGGUAACCUGCCCAUCAGAAGGGGAUAACACUUGGAAACAGGUGCUAAUACCGUAUAACAAUCGAAACCGCAUGGUUUCGGUUUGAAAGGCGCUUUUGCGUCACUGAUGGAUGGACCCGCGGUGCAUUAGCUAGUUGGUGAGGUAACGGCUCACCAAGGCAACGAUGCAUAGCCGACCUGAGAGGGUGAUCGGCCACAUUGGGACUGAGACACGGCCCAAACUCCUACGGGAGGCAGCAGUAGGGAAUCUUCGGCAAUGGACGGAAGUCUGACCGAGCAACGCCGCGUGAGUGAAGAAGGUUUUCGGAUCGUAAAACUCUGUUGUUAGAGAAGAACAAGGAUGAGAGUAGAAUGUUCAUCCCUUGACGGUAUCUAACCAGAAAGCCACGGCUAACUACGUGCCAGCAGCCGCGGUAAUACGUAGGUGGCAAGCGUUGUCCGGAUUUAUUGGGCGUAAAGCGAGCGCAGGCGGUUUCUUAAGUCUGAUGUGAAAGCCCCCGGCUCAACCGGGGAGGGUCAUUGGAAACUGGGAAACUUGAGUGCAGAAGAGGAGAGUGGAAUUCCAUGUGUAGCGGUGAAAUGCGUAGAUAUAUGGAGGAACACCAGUGGCGAAGGCGGCUCUCUGGUCUGUAACUGACGCUGAGGCUCGAAAGCGUGGGGAGCAAACAGGAUUAGAUACCCUGGUAGUCCACGCCGUAAACGAUGAGUGCUAAGUGUUGGAGGGUUUCCGCCCUUCAGUGCUGCAGCUAACGCAUUAAGCACUCCGCCUGGGGAGUACGACCGCAAGGUUGAAACUCAAAGGAAUUGACGGGGGCCCGCACAAGCGGUGGAGCAUGUGGUUUAAUUCGAAGCAACGCGAAGAACCUUACCAGGUCUUGACAUCCUUUGACCACUCUAGAGAUA
Molecule: ribosomal RNA, 1029 nt
Filed under: Enterococcus avium ATCC 14025
Lineage: Bacteria; Bacillati; Bacillota; Bacilli; Lactobacillales; Enterococcaceae
Description: bacterial SSU rRNA
Rfam family: Bacterial small subunit ribosomal RNA
Source: RNAcentral